GGAGAGAUGGCCGAGCUGGUCGAAGGCGCUCCCCUGCUAAGGGAGUAUACCCCAAAAGGGUAUCGAGGGUUCGAAUCCCUCUCUCUCCG
RNAcentral lists this transfer RNA (89 nucleotides) under Kyrpidia spormannii. It matches the Rfam family "tRNA". Rfam says of the family: Transfer RNA (tRNA) molecules are approximately 80 nucleotides in length. Their secondary structure includes four short double-helical elements and three loops (D, anti-codon, and T loops). Lineage: Bacteria; Bacillati; Bacillota; Bacilli; Caryophanales; Alicyclobacillaceae. The record is from Rfam by way of RNAcentral.